GGGAAACAGCCCAGAUUAUCAGUUAAGGCCCCUAAAUAUUUACUAAGUGGUAAAGGAUGUAAUAAUACCUAGACAACCAGGAGGUUGGCUUAGAAGCAGCCAUUCCUUUAAAAAGUGCGUAAUAGCUUACUGGUCAAGUGUUGUUGCGCCGAAAAUGAAUGGGACUAAGUAAAUUGCCGAAGCUAUAAGAUAUUAAACAUCGGUAGGAGAGCGUCCUGAAAGGUGAGAAGUUUUUGUGAAAACAUUAAAAUGGACUUUUCAGGAGUGAGAAUGUCGGCUUAAGUAACGAAAACAAUGGUGGAAAUCCAUUGCCCCGAAAACCUAAGGUUUCCUUUGCCAGGUUCGUCCACAAAGGGUUAGUCAGAUUCUAAAGUAAAGUUGAAUAGCUUAGUUGAUGAUAAACAGGUUAAUAUUCCUGUACCUUAUAUUAAUUUUUGCUAUGAGUGACGAAGGUGGGAGGAAUCAUCCAAAGAUUGGUUGUUUUGGUUUAAUUUAUCGAGGUUAUGAGGGUUAUAACAAAAAAUAAUCUGAGCUAAGAUUAAGAAUACGAUAUACAUUACGGUGUUAAAAGUGAUUUCCUUCGGACUUCCUAGAAAAACUCUUAUAGUCUAUUUAUUAUAAGUCUGUACCGUAAACUGACACAGGUGGGUGGGUAGAGAAUACUAAGGGGCGCGAGAUAACCCUUUCUAAGGAACUCGGCAAAAUGACUUUGUAACUUCGGAAGAAAAAGUGCCUCUUUAAAAGAGAGGUCGCAGUAAGCAGGUCCAUGCGACAGUUUAUCAAAAACUCAAGUCUCUGCUAAGUCGAAAGACGAUGUAUAGAGGCUGACGCCUGCCCAGUGCCGGAAGGUUAAAGAAAUUGGUUAGCUAUGCGAAGCUGGUGACUGAAGCCCCGGUGAACGGCGGCAAUAACUAUAAUUGUCCUAAGGUAGCGAAAUUCCUUGUCAGGUAAGUUCUGACCCGCACGAAAGGCGUAACGAUAUGGAUACUGUCUCAGAAAGGGACUCGGUGAAAUAGAAUUGACUGUGAAGAUGCGGUCUACCUGCACUUGGACAGAAAGACCCUAUGAAGCUUUACUGUAGCCUGUUAUUGAUUUAGAAUUUCUUUUGCGCAGAAUAGGUGGGAGGCUUUGAAGCUCUUUUUCGGAAGUUGUGGAGCCAAAAUUUGAGAUACCACUCUUAAGAAAUUUGGAAUCUAAUGACAUUCUUAAAACAUGUUUGAAAAUUUCAGGUGGGCAGUUUUACUGGGGCGGUAGCCUCCUAAAAGGUAACGGAGGCGUGCAAAGGUUUUCUCAAUUUGGGUGGAAAUCAAAUGUAGAGUGUAAAGAUAUAAGAAAGCUUGACUGUGAGACUUACUAGUCAAACAGAGACGAAAGUCGGUCUUAAUGAUCCGACAGUUGCUAGUGGAAGCGCUGUCGCUAAACGGAUAAAAGUUACUCUAGGGAUAACAGGCUGAUCUCCCCCAAGAGUUCACAUCGACGGGGAGGUUUGGCACCUCGAUGUCGGCUCAUCGCAGCCUGGAGCAGUAGUAUGUUCCAAGGGUUGGGCUGUUCGCCCAUUAAAGCGGUACGUGAGCUGGGUUCAGAACGUCGAGAGACAGUUCGGUCCAUAUCCGGUGUAGGCGUUAGAGCAUUGCAAAUAGCUUUCCUUAGUACGAGAGGACCGGGAAAGUCACACCUCUAGUGUGCCAGUUUUUGUGCCAACAGAAGACGCUGGGUAGUUACGUGUGGAGUGGAUAA
Molecule: ribosomal RNA, 1737 nt
Filed under: Trachelomonas sp. Mulryang090509E
Lineage: Eukaryota; Euglenozoa; Euglenophyceae; Euglenales; Euglenaceae
Description: LSU rRNA
Rfam family: Bacterial large subunit ribosomal RNA
Source: RNAcentral